This 497-nucleotide ribosomal RNA is filed under the name uncultured bacterium. Its description in RNAcentral is "partial 16S ribosomal RNA". It matches the Rfam family "Bacterial small subunit ribosomal RNA", at positions 28 to 507 of the family's 1533-position model. The record is from RNAcentral.
GAUGAACGCUGGCAGCGUGCCUAAUACAUGCAGGUCGAGCGAACGGACGAGAAGCUUGCUUCUCUGAUGUUAGCGGCGGACGGGUGAGUAACACGUGGAUAACCUACCUAUAAGACUGGGAUAACUUCGGGAAACCGGAGCUAAUACCGGAUAAUAUUUUGAACCGCAUGGUUCAAAAGUGAAAGACGGUCUUGCUGUCACUUAUAGAUGGAUCCGCGCUGCAUUAGCUAGUUGGUAAGGUAACGGCUUACCAAGGCAACGAUGCAUAGCCGACCUGAGAGGGUGAUCGGCCACACUGGAACUGAGACACGGUCCAGACUCCUACGGGAGGCAGCAGUAGGGAAUCUUCCGCAAUGGGCGAAAGCCUGACGGAGCAACGCCGCGUGAGUGAUGAAGGUCUUCGGAUCGUAAAACUCUGUUAUUAGGGAAGAACAUAUGUGUAAGUAACUGUGCACAUCUUGACGGUACCUAAUCAGAAAGCCACGGCUAACUACGUG